UACAGAGGUGGCAAGCGUUGUUCGGAAUUACUGGGCGUAAAGGGCGCGUAGGCGGCCUACUAAGUCAGACGUGAAAUCCCCCGGCUUAACCUGGGAACUGCGUCUGAUACUGGAAGGCUUGAGUAUGGGAGAGGGAUGUAGAAUUCCAGGUGUAGCGGUGAAAUGCGUAGAUAUCUGGAGGAAUACCGGUGGCGAAGGCGGCAUCCUGGACCAUUACUGACGCUGAGGAGCGAAAGCUAGGGGAGCAAACGGG
Molecule: ribosomal RNA, 253 nt
Filed under: uncultured bacterium
Lineage: Bacteria
Description: partial 16S ribosomal RNA
Rfam family: Bacterial small subunit ribosomal RNA
Source: RNAcentral